GUUGAAAUAGCUCAGUUGGGAGAGCUUUAGACUGAAUAUCUAUGGGCUUCUGGUUCAAUCCCGGGUUUCAGCA
Chlorocebus sabaeus (green monkey) is the source of this 73-nucleotide transfer RNA. It matches the Rfam family "tRNA". From Rfam's summary of the family: Transfer RNA (tRNA) molecules are approximately 80 nucleotides in length. Their secondary structure includes four short double-helical elements and three loops (D, anti-codon, and T loops). The record is from Rfam. NCBI's taxonomy places the organism in Eukaryota, Metazoa, Chordata, Mammalia, Primates, Cercopithecidae.